CUGUUACUUAAUCUUCGCUGAGAUCAUUUCCUUCCAGAGUUCUUCCACACUGGCAUCGAAUAUCCAAAUUGUCAGUCCAGGAUCAAUCACGGCCCUGGGCCCGCAGGUCUAUAAGUCUGACCACUGGGCAGAUCACUAAAGCCCCGCCCAGUGUGAUUUUACAAUCCCUGAGUACUCUGAGCAGUGUUUCUGGGUGGAAACUUGGGACAGUCCUUGUCCAUCAUACAGAUUCUCAUCACCCAAAACUUCCAGAUAAACAAUACCGACAGUCUAAUAAACCUGGGCUCUUUAGUGGGAGGUCUUCCUACCCAAACACUCACCGCAAUACCCGCGCAGCAGGUUCUAACAACAUCCGCCAACCCAAAAUGUGUUACCAACAUGCUGACUGCUCCAACAAUUGUGAAACAGAUCUAUGUUAAUAAGAUCAUCACAGUUGACAUGAAACCAACAGAACUAAUAGUCAAUGUCCCAGAUGAAAUGGCAACCGAAAUUCCCAGAAAUCUACUGAAUUUCCCAACAACUGGAAAUCAAACACUCACUGCUCUGAACAUCAACAAGAAAA
Molecule: non-coding RNA, 562 nt
Organism: Salmo salar (Atlantic salmon)
Lineage: Eukaryota; Metazoa; Chordata; Actinopteri; Salmoniformes; Salmonidae
Source: RefSeq, a predicted model, not a curated record